AUUGAACGCUGGCGGCAGGCCUAACACAUGCAGGUCGAGCGGAUGAAGGGAGCUUGCUCCUGGAUUCAGCGGCGGACGGGUGAGUAAUGCCUAGGAAUCUGCCUGGUAGUGGGGGAUAACGUCCGGAAACGGGCGCUAAUACCGCAUACGUCCUGAGGGAGAAAGUGGGGGAUCUUCGGACCUCACGCUAUCAGAUGAGCCUAGGUCGGAUUAGCUAGUUGGUGGGGUAAAGCCCUACCAAGGCGACGAUCCGUAACUGGUCUGAGAGGAUGAUCAGUCACACUGGAACUGAGACACGGUCCAGACUCCUACGGGAGGCAGCAGUGGGGAAUAUUGGACAAUGGGCGAAAGCCUGAUCCAGCCAUGCCGCGUGUGUGAAGAAGGUCUUCGGAUUGUAAAGCACUUUAAGUUGGGAGGAAGGGCAGUAAGUUAAUACCUUGCUGUUUUGACGUUACCAACAGAAUAAGCACCGGCUAACUUCGUG
RNAcentral lists this ribosomal RNA (484 nucleotides) under uncultured bacterium. RNAcentral's name for it is "partial 16S ribosomal RNA". It matches the Rfam family "Bacterial small subunit ribosomal RNA", at positions 30 to 507 of the family's 1533-position model. The record is from RNAcentral.